This 484-nucleotide ribosomal RNA is filed under the name uncultured bacterium. Its description in RNAcentral is "bacterial SSU rRNA". It matches the Rfam family "Bacterial small subunit ribosomal RNA", at positions 29 to 507 of the family's 1533-position model. The record is from RNAcentral.
AUUAAACGCUGGCGGCAUGCCUUACACAUGCAAGUCGAACGGCAGCACGGGGGCAACCCUGGUGGCGAGUGGCGGACGGGUGAGUAAAGCAUCGGAACGUAUCCUGGAGUGGGGGAUAACGUAGCGAAAGUUACGCUAAUACCGCAUAUUCUGUGAGCAGGAAAGCAGGGGAUCGCAAGACCUUGCGCUCUGGGAGCGGCCGAUGUCGGAUUAGCUAGUUGGUGGGGUAAAGGCCUACCAAGGCGACGAUCCGUAGCGGGUCUGAGAGGAUGAUCCGCCACACUGGGACUGAGACACGGCCCAGACUCCUACGGGAGGCAGCAGUGGGGAAUUUUGGACAAUGGGCGCAAGCCUGAUCCAGCCAUGCCGUGUGAGUGAAGAAGGCCUUCGGGUUGUAAAGCUCUUUCGGCGGGGAAGAAAUUGCACGGGUUAAUACCCUGUGUAGAUGACGGUACCCGAAUAAGAAGCACCGGCUAACUACGUG